GUGGGGAAUAUUGCGCAAUGGGGGAAACCCUGACGCAGCAACGCCGCGUGAAGGAUGAAGGUUUUCGGAUUGUAAACUUCUUUGACGAGGGACGAUAAUGACGGUACCUCGAAAACAAGCCACGGCUAACUACGUGCCAGCAGCCGCGGUAAUACGUAGGUGGCAAGCGUUGUCCGGAUUUACUGGGUGUAAAGGGCGAGUAGGCGGGAUGGCAAGUCAGCAGUGAAAUACCAUGGCUCAACUGUGGAACUGCUGUUGAAACUGCUAUUCUUGAGUGAUGGAGAGGCAGGCGGAAUUCCCGGUGUAGCGGUGAAAUGCGUAGAGAUCGGGAGGAACACCAGUGGCGAAGGCGGCCUGCUGGACAUUAACUGACGCUGAGGCGCGAAAGCGUGGGGAGCAAACAGGAUUAGAUACCCGGGUAGUCC
RNAcentral lists this ribosomal RNA (425 nucleotides) under uncultured bacterium. Its description in RNAcentral is "partial 16S ribosomal RNA". It matches the Rfam family "Bacterial small subunit ribosomal RNA", at positions 354 to 796 of the family's 1533-position model. The record is from RNAcentral.